UACGUAGGGUGCGAGCGUUAAUCGGAAUUACUGGGCGUAAAGCGUGCGCAGGCGGUUCGUUGUGUCGGCGGUGAAAGCCCCGGGCUUAACCUGGGAAUGGCCGUUGAAACUGGCGAACUGGAGUGUGGCAGAGGGGGGUGGAAUUCCGCGUGUAGCAGUGAAAUGCGUAGAGAUGCGGAGGAACACCAACGGCGAAAGCACUCUGCUGGGCCGACACUGACACUGAGAGACGAAAGCUAGGGGAGCGAAUGGG
This 253-nucleotide ribosomal RNA is filed under the name uncultured bacterium. Its description in RNAcentral is "partial 16S ribosomal RNA". It matches the Rfam family "Bacterial small subunit ribosomal RNA", at positions 524 to 776 of the family's 1533-position model. The record is from RNAcentral.